This 1349-nucleotide ribosomal RNA is filed under the name uncultured marine eukaryote. RNAcentral's name for it is "SSU rRNA". It matches the Rfam family "Eukaryotic small subunit ribosomal RNA", at positions 411 to 1773 of the family's 1831-position model. The record is from RNAcentral.
CACAUCUAAGGAAGGCAGCAGGCGCGUAAAUUACCCAAUCCUGACUCAGGGAGGUAGUGACAAGAAAUAACGGACCGGGACCUCGUGUUCCGGGAUUGAAAUGAGAACAAUUUAAACCCCUUAUCAAGGAUCAAUUGGAGGGCAAGUCUGGUGCCAGCAGCCGCGGUAAUUCCAGCUCCAAUAGCGUAUACUAAAGUUGUUGCAGUUAAAAAGCUCGUAGUUGGAUUUCUGUGGGGACGGAGCGGCCGGCCGCAACUCGCGGUUCGAGCUAGCGCUUUCCCUACAUCCUGCCGCGAACCGUGCUACCAUUAGUUUGGUGGCGCCGGGGAUCGGCUCGAUUACUUUGAGAAAAAUAGAGUGUUCAAAGCAGGCCGCACGCCUUGAAUAAGUUAGCAUGGAAUAAUAACUAAGGACUUCGGUUCUAUUUUGUUGGUGUUCGGGACUGAAGUAAUGAUUGAUAGGGACAGUUGGGGCGGUCUGUAUUCCAAAGCGAGAGGUGAAAUUCUUAGACCUUCGGAAGACAAACAGCUGCGAAAGCGUUCCGCAAGGAUGUUCCCUUUGAUCAAGAACGAAAGUUGGGGGAUCGAAGACGAUCAGAUACCGUCGUAGUCUCAACUAUAAACUAUACCAGCUAGGGAUCGGCCAACGUUAUUCUAUACCGACUUGGUCGGCACCUUAUGAGAAAUCAAAGCAUCUGGGUUCCGGGGGGAGUAUGGUCGCAAGGCUGAAACUUAAAGGAAUUGACGGAAGGGCACCACCAGCCGUGGAGCCUGUGGCUUAAUUUGACUCAACACGGGAAAACUUACCAGGUCCAGACAUAGUAAGGAUUGACAGAUUGAUAGCUCUUUCUUGAUUCUGUGGGUGGUGGUGCAUGGCCGUUCUUAGUUGGUGGAGUGAUUUGUCUGGUUAAUUCCGUUAACGAACGAGACCCCAGCCUGCUAAAUAGCGCGUGUGAGCUUUGCUCGCAGCGAGCUUCUUAGAGGGACUAUGAUGCGCGAUAGCACAUGGAAGUUUGGGGCACUAACAGGUCUGUGAUGCCCUUAGAUGUUCUGGGCCGCACACGGGCUACACUGGCGCCUGCAACGAGCAUAUCAGCUGGCCCGAGAGGGUCUUGGCUAAUCUUUUGAACCGGCGCCGUGCUUGGGAUUGACCUUUGCAAUUGUUGGUCAUGCAACGAGGAAUGCCUUGUAAACGCGGGUCAUCAGCUCGCAUUAAAUACGUCCCUGCCCUUUGUACACACCGCCCGUCGCUCCUACCGAUGAAUGUUCCGAUGAAAUUUUCGGAGAGCACCUGUGAACUUGGCUCCGCCUUGCGAACGGGAGGCUCAAAGUCACUUAAAUCUGAACAUU